This 492-nucleotide ribosomal RNA is filed under the name uncultured bacterium. Its description in RNAcentral is "partial 16S ribosomal RNA". It matches the Rfam family "Bacterial small subunit ribosomal RNA", at positions 29 to 507 of the family's 1533-position model. The record is from RNAcentral.
AGUGAACGCUGGCGGUAGGCCUAACACAUGCAAGUCGAACGGCAGCACAGUAAGAGCUUGCUCUUACGGGUGGCGAGUGGCGGACGGGUGAGGAAUACAUCGUACUCUACUUUUUCGUGGGGGUUAACGUAGGGAAACUUACGCUAAUACCGCAUACGACCUACGGGUGAAAGCAGGGGAACUUCGGACCUUGCGCGAUUGAAUGAGCCGAUGUCGGACUAGCUAGUUGGUGGGGUAAAGGCCCACCAAGGCGACGAUCCGUAGCUGGUCUGAGAGGAGGGUCGGCCACACUGGAGCGUGGCCAGCGACCAGACUCCUACGGGAGGCAGCAGUGUGGAAUAUUGGACAAUGGGCGCAAACCUGACCCAGCCAUACCGCGUGGGUGAAGAAGGCCUUCGGGUUGUAAAGCCCUUUUGUUGGGAAAGAAAAGCAGCAGGUUAAUACCCCGCUGUUCUGACGGUACCCAAAGAAUAAGCACCGGCUAACUUCGUG